UACAGCAUAUAGUGCCUCGGUCCCCGCGAUGAUCAACAUCUGGGGCUAAGAGGGAAGCCGGUGCAAGUCCGGCGCUGCCCCCGCAACUGUGAGCGGCGAGCCGACGUCCAUGUGAAGUCACUGGGGCUUGAGGGUUCCGGGAAGACGGACGAAGGCAACGACCCGCGAGCCAGGAGACCUGCCGCAGCACGGUACGAAGC
Molecule: non-coding RNA, 200 nt
Filed under: Blastochloris viridis
Lineage: Bacteria; Pseudomonadati; Pseudomonadota; Alphaproteobacteria; Hyphomicrobiales; Blastochloridaceae
Source: RNAcentral